Molecule: long non-coding RNA, 637 nt
Organism: Aplysia californica (California sea hare)
Lineage: Eukaryota; Metazoa; Mollusca; Gastropoda; Aplysiida; Aplysiidae
Exons: 2
Source: RefSeq, a predicted model, not a curated record
ACAUCUAAUGUACCAUUUCCUGCCGUUCAAACCAAAUAUGAACUGUUCCUUAUUGACUUUAAGUUCUUUGUUCUGCUCUACGAAGUGUUUUUUCCGAGUUUACUGUAAGUAAACUGGUUGUUUUCUUAUUUCUGUUUCCAAGUGGUCGAGCGCUUUUGUUUACAAUUUAAUUGUUUCAAGAUGGCGGACCGAUCAGCUGAGUGGCGUAUUUCAUCGAUGUGGAACGAUCUCAGUCGGAUUGGAAUGAGACAAAUCACAGACGAAAAUGAAUUGGAUGAACUGAUUAUUUAUUAUUUCAAUGCAAGACCUAUUGAUUGUGAAGACAGUAGAUUCUAGUUUGGAGGAGGAGACACAUGAUGAACCAAUUACGACGACGACCGUGGCCGUGACACACCCCACAUACACCCACACCCCUUCUCAUUUAUAACCAUCAUGGUCUGGAAUCUGGAACUUCAUGAAGAAGAAGUCCUGGUUCCUGUUCAACCAGUUGGCAUAACAUCAUCAGAAGGUGCAAUUGCUGGCCCAGGACCUUCGCAGCCCCCCUCCCAUGCUCCCAGUGAAGCAGAUCCAGAGUCUCUGACUGCUGUGCUCUACAACAACAAAGUGAUGCUGACCAGUCCAGUAUUGCUGAAGGUAA